AGUCCCAUAGCUCAGUGGAAGAGCGUUCCGUUCACACCGGAAAGGUCGCUGGUUCGAACCCAGUUGGGACUACUA
Molecule: transfer RNA, 75 nt
Filed under: Corynebacterium amycolatum
Lineage: Bacteria; Bacillati; Actinomycetota; Actinomycetes; Mycobacteriales; Corynebacteriaceae
Also listed under: 5 other names
Description: tRNA-Val
Rfam family: tRNA
About the family: Transfer RNA (tRNA) molecules are approximately 80 nucleotides in length. Their secondary structure includes four short double-helical elements and three loops (D, anti-codon, and T loops). Further hydrogen bonds mediate the characteristic L-shaped molecular structure. tRNAs have two regions of fundamental functional importance: the anti-codon, which is responsible for specific mRNA codon recognition, and the 3' end, to which the tRNAs corresponding amino acid is attached (by aminoacyl-tRNA synthetases). tRNAs cope with the degeneracy of the genetic code in two manners: having more than one tRNA (with a specific anti-codon) for a particular amino acid; and 'wobble' base-pairing, i.e. permitting non-standard base-pairing at the 3rd anti-codon position.
Source: RNAcentral